This is a long non-coding RNA of Tachysurus fulvidraco (yellow catfish), 1098 nucleotides long. RefSeq lists it as uncharacterized. The transcript is spliced from 2 exons. The record is from RefSeq and is a predicted model, not a curated record. Lineage: Eukaryota; Metazoa; Chordata; Actinopteri; Siluriformes; Bagridae.
GAUAAUCUGUGGAACAAAAACAUACUGGAAGGCUGCCAGAGCUCACAGCUGACUCAACCACAUCGAUGUUAAUUUCAGCGCAGUUUUACUGAAUUCCUUUAAUUCGUUUCUAUUUAGUGUUUUCUAAACAGGAUUGUGGGGAAGCAGGAUUCAGUCCCAGGGGAGACUGGGCACAAGGUGGUGGAUAUACUGGACUGGGUGCCAAUCCAUUGCAGGUCAUAAUCACACACUCGCACUCUGGACAAUUUAGAGAUGACAAUCAACACAUGAUUUGGACUGGGGAGAUCAUGGAAAUAUAAGACAUGUGUUUACAAACCAGUAAGCUCACACAUACAGUAUGAUGAGUUUCAGGUAAAAACUGAUUCAUACUGAGUUAUUUAAUCUAGUCUAAGUAAUAAAUGAUCUAGACACAACAUAUACUCAUAUUGUGUAGGGCAAGACAGGAUAUGAAAUCAGCAACAUGAGAAAAUAAUACAGAUACAAGUCAAGAGCUUCAGUUAAACUACACUUCAAUUCCCAAAAUGGGGUAAAAGGUGACUUCAGUUACUAGUGUGCUUAGACACACUAGUUUGUUUGUUUGUUUAUUUAUGUAUUAAUCUAUUUAUCUAUGUAUGUAUGUAUGUAUGUAUGUAUGUAUGUAUGUAUGUAUGUAUGUAUGUAUGUAUGUAUGUAUUUAAAUGUAAACAGUUAAAAGUAUGAAAAUCGAGGAUCAUGGAAAAGCAGUAGAGGUACAGAGUAGGUGUAUCUAAUAAUUUCAAAAUAAACUAUAAUAUUAUAGUUAUAUAUUUAAUAUAUAUAUAUAAAUCUGCAACUAUAGACACUCCUUAAACAUAUUUUAGAGACAACUACAACCUCUGUGUUUUUUGCCGGUAGGGGAAUAUGUCUAGAGUAAUACAUGUGCUGGACACACCCCAAAACAUUACCGGGUCUUUUUCAGUAUUCACUCACUUUCAUUCUGUCUCUUACUCAAGCUUUGCACCAGAAUGAUGUAUACAACUAGUAUCUUUUGUUUGAUCUUAUUUUUGUUUAUAGGAUGGACAAAUUGUGCUAAAGUUCAACAGAGUUCUUCAUUCCUAGUCAAUAAAACCCAGAAUGUAA